UGAACGCUGGCGGCGUGCCUACUACAUGCAAGUCGAGCGAACGGACGCGAAGCUUGCUUCUCUGAUGUUAGCGGCGGACGGGUGAGUAACACGUGGAUAACCUACCUAUAAGACUGGGAUAACUUCGGGAAACCGGAGCUAAUACCGGAUGAUAUUUUGAACCGCAUGGUUCAAAAGUGAAAGACGGUCUUGCUGUCACUUAUAGAUGGAUCCGCGCUGCAUUAGCUAGUUGGUAAGGUAACGGCUUACCAAGGCAACGAUGCAUAGCCGACCUGAGAGGGUGAUCGGCCACACUGGAACUGAGACACGGUCCAGACUCCUACGGGAGGCAGCAGUAGGGAAUCUUCCGCAAUGGGCGAAAGCCUGACGGAGCAACGCCGCGUGAGUGAUGAAGGUCUUCGGAUCGUAAAACUCUGUUAUUAGGGAAGAACAUAUGUGUAAGUAACUGUGCACAUCUUGACGGUACCUAAUCAGAAAGCCACGGCUAACUACGUG
This 495-nucleotide ribosomal RNA is filed under the name uncultured bacterium. RNAcentral describes it as "partial 16S ribosomal RNA". It matches the Rfam family "Bacterial small subunit ribosomal RNA", at positions 30 to 507 of the family's 1533-position model. The record is from RNAcentral.